Molecule: long non-coding RNA, 1640 nt
Organism: Pipra filicauda (Wire-tailed manakin)
Lineage: Eukaryota; Metazoa; Chordata; Aves; Passeriformes; Pipridae
Exons: 13
Source: RefSeq, a predicted model, not a curated record
UUAAUAACUGCUUUUGAGAAAAAUAACUAAUUGCUGAAAGUCAACAGCUAAAGAGGAGAAUGUACCUUUGUUUUAAUCAUUUCUGGAUAAGUGACUGUAUAUAUAUAUUAAGAUUAAUCAUGCUGUGUGUAAUCAACAGCAGCAGCUAAAUAAUUGAAGCUUUGAUCUUGUUAGUGGCUUCAGCAGAAGAAAGGACAGACAGGAUCCGUGUGGGAGUGCCAGAGCUCCCUGGGACACCAGGAGGAGGUGCAGGAGGCUGCAGCCCCACUCCAGUUGGCCCCUCUUGGAGAGAACUCGAUCUCUGGUGUUGGGAACAGCAGCAGUCUCACUAGCUCCUUUUGCUUUUCAUUCUGAUCAGAUGUAUGCCAAAAGGAGUGGCAUCAGAGGCUGUGCAUGGCACACGAGCUGUCACCACCCUCCAGUGACAAGGAAGCGAGGGGGAACACCCAUCCAUGUCACUUGGUGGUCCAGUUGUCUCCAUGGGCUCCAGCUGAGAUUUCAGUCAACUCUGGAGUUGCUUGACAGCUGUGCUAAGGGCUGUACACUCAUCAUAAGACAAGUGGUCUUCCCUGCAAUGGAAGGAGAGAGAAACAAGAGCUGGAUGUGAAGAACAAUUAGCAAUGACCUGGGAUAAAAGAGUUUAUUACAGCUGGGGAUGCGCCAGUCUGAGGAGAGAGGAAGGGGAGGCAGGAGGAUGUGCUUCUGUUCACCAGCCCAUCCUUCAGUAGAAGGACUGCAGACCUACUGGUGCUGACAGCAGAUGGCUCAGAAUAUGCUCCCAGGAGAGUGGGAAGUAGAAGGAGAGAUGGGAUAAUUGGGUUCACGCCGUUGGCCCUGGACUCCAGAGCUGUUACAGGCUGUGGAACGGCGCAGAGGAAAUGGUCGACCGCGAUGGAUGUGCGGCAGUAAGGAGUGGUUUGAAGGGAGCUAAAAAUACGUGUUGCAUUCAGUGAGAAGCCCCCCAUAAGCCAUCAGCACAAUAUUUUGUAAAUCUUGCCUUCUGAAUGAGAACAGAAACUGGGGCGUGUUGCUUUACUUCAAACAAAGGGUUGGCGUGAUUCAGGGGGGUAAGAUGUGAUCAUCCACUGGGGAAUGAAAAAAAUUUAAUGAAGUGGACUCUAAAGAUAAUAUUUUUAUGAUGAUGUACUUGUGAUCCCAGGACAGCCAUGCAUGGAAGGAUGAGACCUCCCAGCAACUUGGAACCGGGCUUUAUGGGCACCUGCACACAGUUCUGGGUGUUAAACAAGGACACAGGGACUGAAAUCACUGCAUCAAACCCAGAGAUAUGCUGUAUUUGAAGAGUGAAAAGAAAUAUAGUGAUUUAUGGACUAGCCAAUCUACAGGCUCGCUGAUCAACAAAAUGGGACCUUUAAAGCAUACAGAGAUAGACAAUGGUCUUGUUAGUAGUUCUGUGGAAAAAGAGAAUUGAGACACCAGCAUUUGCAGAAUCCCACAGUGAAACAAACCCUCCAUAGACUGUGGCACCGUGUCCCUCAUGGCAGCCCCUGGAGCCCACAUGGAGAAACCCCGGAGCAGCUGCCAGUCAUGAACAGCCGGGGAAAACUUCCCCAUCCCACAGCUCCUGGAGCCCCUCAGCAGCCCAGCCUGGCAGGGACAGUGGGAACAGUGCCCACACUGGA